Molecule: long non-coding RNA, 640 nt
Organism: Archocentrus centrarchus (flier cichlid)
Lineage: Eukaryota; Metazoa; Chordata; Actinopteri; Cichliformes; Cichlidae
Exons: 3
Source: RefSeq, a predicted model, not a curated record
CUCGCAGAGAUGCUGGUAAACUUUCUCCAGAUCCUCCAGCUCCGUCAGCGCCGAGAUGGUGUCCAUACUCACAAAAGACACGGACCCGGAGUCGCAUCUUCUCGCUGAUAAGGGUCCACUGUCAGCCAUCUUCCGCCACCGGAACAGGACCCAGGAGCCAACGUCAGCAGGUGCUGCCUUCAAUUAGGCAUUCCUGGCUGUGCUGGGCGACCUUAUGCGGGCGGUGAGUGGCCGACGUGUGUGACCCACUCCAAGAGUCCACAUCAAGAAGGUUACUACACUGGCGGGAGAAGAGUCAGAAGUGGGAACUAAAAGUUCAUCGGUGACUUUUUGUUGUGAUGAUCACUCACAUUUAAGAAUAUGCAACCAAAAUGUUAUUUUUUUUCCUAUUGUGUCUAGUCAUAACAGAAAAGAAUGUAUUCUGGGAUGUUCCAGUGCAGAAGAUACUUGAUACUUUAUCGACAUUGUUGUGUUGUGUUUGAGUCACAUACAAGUUAUGUCAAGAGACUGCUGCCCGCAUUGCUAUAUCGACUACAAAACAAGAACUUAUGGAGUCGUGCCAUGCUGAGUGGGUACUAGUGGUAAAGAAGCAUUACUAACAGCUGUUAGUAUUAAAACUGUGUAUUUUCCUGGAAAGUGA